GUGACCCGAAGUCAACACAAGGGUUUAACCACCUGCUCACACAGGCACGCACGCAAACGGGAGAAUUCAACCUCCAGAUACCAAGGUCAACCCAAGCCCGGCAUGAUAAACAUGUGCAUGGGACCAGCCCUUUAGUAUAAACAGCAACCUAGCUGAGAAACCAUCCAUUUACAAGAAAUGAUGUAGUAAUUACAGUCCCCAGCAGUGGCAGUGUUGUACACUGUUGGAUGUGGGCCGUGCAGUAGUCUGUGUUGAUCUGAAACGGCCAAUAUCACCACGUAGAAAGGAGCAGUAGUGAGCUACGAGGAAGCAGCAGCUGUGUGGGAUAGUCAGGCAGGCGGCGGAGCCUUUACAGUCGUUAUCAUUCAUCUAUAGGCUAUGGCCAUAAUGCGAUAAUAAUUCACAAAGAGCUGAUGAAAUGUUUCGCAAUGAAUGAAUGCAUGCACAGAACUGCAAAAGAGCAAAUGAUAAAAGGACAUGAUCUAUAUUCAAAGAAUGUAUUAUGUUUAGAUAGGAUUUAAAAUUCCGGUGCUCGGUUUUCUCACUUUUUGCUGCUAAAAAACCUAAAUACGGAAGCUCUACCAGUGCACUGCACACAUAGCUCGCUUUGGGAAUUUGGGAACCCCCACACCGGUGCUGUCAGCGCUACCGUUGCUGUCCAUCUAGGGGCUUCCCGCGUAGUGUGUUUGCGUGCCCGCGCCGGCUGCGUUUGUGUGAUUAGCAGGCACGAGCCCGCGCGCGACUGGAAGGGAAUAGCAGGGAGUUUUCCUGCGGAGUUUUUCACCGGCAGUCGGUCUGUGGGAUUUCCCAGUGAAGGCAGGAAUCUGGAUUCGUAGGGGAAAAUCAUCCCAAUUUCCCAACCGAUUGUUAUUGUCAACUAGCUGUCGAUGAACGAUAGCAGUGUGGAGAGAAACAGGCGAAUUAUAGGAAUUCAUUGGAGUGGCGGAGGCAAAACAUUACCGUGUUUAUUCUCAGAUUAUCUAAAUAUAACAAUUUGGCACAUCACACGUAGACGUCACUUCAGUUCAAUGGAACAGAGCCAAAAAAGUUGGGAACCACUGUAGCAUUUACGAGUUUUAGAGCUCUGCAAUAGCAUGUAGUUCAUUUAAAUUAACACUUCUGUCAUUUUUUAAAAUUAAAAUAUUGACUUUAACUUUAACUAUCCAGCAACCCCUAUAUAUAUAUAGGCCUAUUUUUUUUCUCAUUUCUAUCAGCAGUAAAACAUUUAGAUCUGUAAACAAACUAUGUUCUACUGUCUUUCUACUAAACUAUAUUUAGUAACAGUGACACAUUUCUGUGCAUUUAUGCACUUUGAGCAUACAAAGAGGGGGAUUCUGAUUAUUUAGGCCACCUGCAAGGAUAAGACAGUAAUUUGAGGCUUUGGGAUGGGACAAGUAGCUUGGGCAUCCAAUCUCCCUCCAACCCAUCUGCUUAAACAGCUCACUGACACUGGAUCAAGUCAAAGCCUUCGUUAGUUAGCUUGCAAUUACACCGCGGCCUCAUGCAGGCUUAAACAGCAUAGGUAGAAUAUCAGAUAGCAUAUUUUACUCCGUUUGAUUAAUGUUUUAGGAGAAUUUUGUGUUUCUCUCAGGGCAAUUUUGUUGAACCAUGACACAUUUGUGUUGCAUAUUUGCUGUAUGUUUUUAAUUCAAAUCCCACAGGUUAUUUUCUGUUUUGUUUGACUGUCAUUUGUUUAUUUUUGUCUCCUGCUUGUCUCCUGCUUCAUUGUGUGUUGUCUUCUUCUUUUCUCAUUUAAGAAAUAUUCUCCACACCUGCCAAAGCACCUGCAGUGACCCACCCUAUGUCACGCAGCUAUUGGUAAAGUAUAAAGUGGGAUCAGAGAGAAGAAAAACAAGGUGGCGGGUGGAACUACUCCUUUAAUUGACAGCUUGAAGUGGAGACGACAUGCAGCAAAGGGCCCCGGUUUGGAUUAGAAUCCAGCCUAUUGCCAAGGACUCUACUGG
Perca flavescens (yellow perch) is the source of this 1964-nucleotide long non-coding RNA. RefSeq lists it as uncharacterized. The transcript is spliced from 3 exons. The record is from RefSeq and is a predicted model, not a curated record. Lineage: Eukaryota; Metazoa; Chordata; Actinopteri; Perciformes; Percidae.